UACGUAGGGCGCGAGCGUUAUCCGGAGUUAUUGGGCGUAAAGAGCUCGUAGGCGGUUUGUCGCGUCUGCCGUGAAAGUCCGGGGCUCAACUCCGGAUCUGCGGUGGGUACGGGCAGACUAGAGUGAUGUAGGGGAGACUGGAAUUCCUGGUGUAGCGGUGAAAUGCGCAGAUAUCAGGAGGAACACCGAUGGCGAAGGCAGGUCUCUGGGCAUUAACUGACGCUGAGGAGCGAAAGCAUGGGGAGCGAACAGG
This 253-nucleotide ribosomal RNA is filed under the name uncultured bacterium. RNAcentral's name for it is "partial 16S ribosomal RNA". It matches the Rfam family "Bacterial small subunit ribosomal RNA", at positions 524 to 776 of the family's 1533-position model. The record is from RNAcentral.